Molecule: ribosomal RNA, 253 nt
Filed under: uncultured bacterium
Lineage: Bacteria
Description: partial 16S ribosomal RNA
Rfam family: Bacterial small subunit ribosomal RNA
Source: RNAcentral
UACGAAGGGGGCUAGCGUUGCUCGGAAUUACUGGGCGUAAAGCGCGUGUAGGCGGCCCGGUAAGUCCGCUGUGAAAGUCGGGGGCUCAACCCUCGGAUGCCGGUGGAUACUGUCGGGCUCGAGUACGGAAGAGGCGAGUGGAAUUCCUGGUGUAGCGGUGAAAUGCGCAGAUAUCAGGAGGAACACCAAUUGCGAAGGCAGCUCGCUGGGACGUUACUGACGCUGAGACGCGAAAGCGUGGGGAGCAAACAGG